RNAcentral lists this ribosomal RNA (253 nucleotides) under uncultured bacterium. Its description in RNAcentral is "partial 16S ribosomal RNA". It matches the Rfam family "Bacterial small subunit ribosomal RNA", at positions 524 to 776 of the family's 1533-position model. The record is from RNAcentral.
UACGUAGGGGGCGAGCGUUAUCCGGAUUUACUGGGUGUAAAGGGAGCGUAGACGGCGUCGCAAGUCUGAAGUGAAAGCCCGUGGCUCAACCGCGGAACCGCUUUGGAAACUGCGUGGCUGGAGUGCUGGAGAGGUAAGCGGAAUUCCUGGUGUAGCGGUGAAAUGCGUAGAUAUCAGGAGGAACACCGGUGGCGAAGGCGGCUUACUGGACAGUGACUGACGUUGAGGCUCGAAAGCGUGGGGAGCGAACAGG